Molecule: long non-coding RNA, 619 nt
Organism: Hyla sarda
Lineage: Eukaryota; Metazoa; Chordata; Amphibia; Anura; Hylidae
Exons: 5
Source: RefSeq, a predicted model, not a curated record
GCCUGGUCCCAACCGGAGUGGUUGUGGUGCAAAACUGUGCAGCUAGGAAAAAACCGCCACCAAUCAGAGAGCAGCACUACUGAAAUAGAACUCCCAGGAGUGAGGGGCCGGUGCUGGACACUGUGUAGGGACGCGGGAAUGCAAAGUCAUACACAUGACUGUGACUGAUGCACUAUCUCCAGGACAUGGAGUAGCAUUUCCGGACCUACAGCAAGACGUUGGAUGAAGGCAUAGCCCCAGAAAUAACACUGGUCCUGUUCAUCAGUGAGGGGCCGGUGCUGGACACUGUGUAGGGACACGGGAAUGCAAAGUCAUGCACAUGACUGUGACUGAUGCACUAUUUCCAGGACAUGGAGUAGCAUUUCGGGACCUACAGCAAGACGUUGGAUGAAGGCACAGGCCUAGGAAUCAUGCACAUACACAGAAACAUUUGCCCAAAUUCUAGAGGUAACCUCCUUUAGUAUGCCCAGAGGAAGGGCCAUACAGUAGCCAUGGAUUCCCUACAGGUUUCCUCCCCUCUGGAGGUUUUUCCUGUCCUGAGUAUUAGUUACUGUACGCUCUUUGUGAGUGAUGGGAGGUUACAAAAAAUCCCCUACACAAACAUUUUAAUAAAUAAUAA